GGGCCGUUAGCUCAGUCGGUAGAGCAGCUGACUCUUAAUCAGCGGGCCGCAGGUUCGAGUCCUGCACGGCCCA
This 73-nucleotide transfer RNA is filed under the name Candidatus Omnitrophota bacterium. RNAcentral describes it as "tRNA-Lys". It matches the Rfam family "tRNA". Rfam says of the family: Transfer RNA (tRNA) molecules are approximately 80 nucleotides in length. Their secondary structure includes four short double-helical elements and three loops (D, anti-codon, and T loops). The record is from RNAcentral. Lineage: Bacteria; Pseudomonadati; Candidatus Omnitrophota.